RNAcentral lists this ribosomal RNA (400 nucleotides) under Rhodella violacea. RNAcentral's name for it is "partial Bacterial small subunit ribosomal RNA". It matches the Rfam family "Bacterial small subunit ribosomal RNA", at positions 111 to 527 of the family's 1533-position model. The record is from RNAcentral. Lineage: Eukaryota; Rhodophyta; Rhodellophyceae; Rhodellales; Rhodellaceae.
UAACACGUGAGUAACCUGCCCUUUACUUCGGGAUAAGCUUGGGAAACUGGGUCUAAUACCGGAUAUGACAACUUUUUGGAUAUUGUUGUGGAAAGCUUUUGCGGUAUGGGAUGAGCUCGCGGCCUAUCAGCUUGUUGGUGGGGUGAUGGCCUACCAAGCCGACGACGGGUAGCCGGCCUGAGAGGGUGACCGGCCACACUGGGACUGAGACACGGCCCAGACUCCUACGGGAGGCAGCAGUGGGGAAUAUUGCACAAUGGGCGAAAGCCUGAUGCAGCAACGCCGCGUGGGGGAUGACGGCCUUCGGGUUGUAAACCGCUUUCGCCUGUGACGAAGCGUGAGUGACGGUAAUGGGUAAAGAAGCACCGGCUAACUACGUGCCAGCAGCCGCGGUAAUACG